CAUUUUCUNCCNCCGAAUACAUUAGCAUGGGAUAAUGGAAUAGGACCCUGUCCUCCUAUUUUCAGUUGGUUUUGGCAGCGCGAGGACUAGGGUAAUGAUUAAUAGGGAUAGUUGGGGGCAUUAAUAUUUAAUUGUCAGAGGUGAAAUUCUUGGAUUUAUGAAAGAUUAACUUCUGCGAAAGCAUCUGCCAAGGAUGUUUUCAUUAAUCAAGAACGAAAGUUAGGGGAUCGAAGACGAUCAGAUACCGUCGUAGUCUUAACCAUAAACGAUGCCGACCAGCGAUUAGGAGACGUUGAAUACAAAACACCACCAUCGGCGCGGUCGUCCUUGGCGUUCGUGUUCACGCACGAGCGCGAGGGCGGUUUAGCCCGGUGGCACCGGUGAAUGACUCCUACCAGCUUGNGAGAAGAAUGCNUUCUAGUUGNGG
This 427-nucleotide ribosomal RNA is filed under the name Acanthamoeba sp. RNAcentral's name for it is "SSU rRNA". The stretch from base 1 to 342 matches the Rfam family "Eukaryotic small subunit ribosomal RNA", at positions 781 to 1114 of the family's 1831-position model. Lineage: Eukaryota; Discosea; Longamoebia; Acanthamoebidae. The record is from RNAcentral.